GUUGGGUAGGGGAGCGUUCUGUAAGCCUGUGAAGGUGUGUCGUGAGGCAUGCUGGAGGUAUCAGAAGUGCGAAUGCUGACAUAAGUAACGAUAAAGCGGGUGAAAAGCCCGCUCGCCGGAAGACCAAGGGUUCCUGUCCAACGUUAAUCGGGGCAGGGUGAGUCGACCCCUAAGGCGAGGCCGAAAGGCGUAGUCGAUGGGAAACGGGUUAAUAUUCCCGUACUUGGUGUUACUGCGAAGGGGGGACGGAGAAGGCUAUGUUGGCCGGGCGACGGUUGUCCCGGUUUAAGCGUGUAGGUGUGUGUUCCAGGUAAAUCCGGUUCACUUUAACACUGAGGCGUGAUGACGAGGCACUACGGUGCUGAAGCAACAAAUGCCCUGCUUCCAGGAAAAGCCUCUAAGCAUCAGGUAACAUCAAAUCGUACCCCAAACCGACACAGGUGGUCAGGUAGAGAAUACCAAGGCGCUUGAGAGAACUCGGGUGAAGGAACUAGGCAAAAUGGUGCCGUAACUUCGGGAGAAGGCACGCUGACACGUAGGUGAAGUGAUUUACUCAUGGAGCUGAAGUCAGUCGAAGAUACCAGCUGGCUGCAACUGUUUAUUAAAAACACAGCACUGUGCAAACACGAAAGUGGACGUAUACGGUGUGACGCCUGCCCGGUGCCGGAAGGUUAAUUGAUGGGGUCAGCGCAAGCGAAGCUCCUGAUCGAAGCCCCGGUAAACGGCGGCCGUAACUAUAACGGUCCUAAGGUAGCGAAAUUCCUUGUCGGGUAAGUUCCGACCUGCACGAAUGGCGUAAUGAUGGCCAGGCUGUCUCCACCCGAGACUCAGUGAAAUUGAACUCGCUGUGAAGAUGCAGUGUACCCGCGGCAAGACGGAAAGACCCCGUGAACCUUUACUAUAGCUUGACACUGAACAUUGAGCCUUGAUGUGUAGGAUAGGUGGGAGGCUUUGAAGCGUGGACGCCAGUCUGCGUGGAGCCGACCUUGAAAUACCACCCUUUAAUGUUUGAUGUUCUAACGUGGACCCGUAAUCCGGGUUGCGGACAGUGUCUGGUGGGUAGUUUGACUGGGGCGGUCUCCUCCUAAAGAGUAACGGAGGAGCACGAAGGUUGGCUAAUCCUGGUCGGACAUCAGGAGGUUAGUGCAAUGGCAUAAGCCAGCUUGACUGCGAGCGUGACGGCGCGAGCAGGUGCGAAAGCAGGUCAUAGUGAUCCGGUGGUUCUGAAUGGAAGGGCCAUCGCUCAACGGAUAAAAGGUACUCCGGGGAUAACAGGCUGAUACCGCCCAAGAGUUCAUAUCGACGGCGGUGUUUGGCACCUCGAUGUCGGCUCAUCACAUCCUGGGGCUGAAGUAGGUCCCAAGGGUAUGGCUGUUCGCCAUUUAAAGUGGUACGCGAGCUGGGUUUAGAACGUCGUGAGACAGUUCGGUCCCUAUCUGCCGUGGGCGCUGGAGAACUGAGGGGGGCUGCUCCUAGUACGAGAGGACCGGAGUGGACGCAUCACUGGUGUUCGGGUUGUCAUGCCAAUGGCACUGCCCGGUAGCUAAAUGCGGAAGAGAUAAGUGCUGAAAGCAUCUAAGCACGAAACUUGCCCCGAGAUGAGUUCUCCCUGAGACUUAGAGUCUCCUGAAGGAACGUUGAAGACGACGACGUUGAUAGGCCGGGUGUGUAAGCGCAGCGAUGCGUUGAGCUAACCGGUACUAAUGAACCGUGAGGCUUAACCUUACAACGCCGAAG
This 1737-nucleotide ribosomal RNA is filed under the name Salmonella enterica subsp. enterica serovar Thompson. RNAcentral describes it as "bacterial LSU rRNA". It matches the Rfam family "Bacterial large subunit ribosomal RNA", at positions 1223 to 2925 of the family's 2925-position model. Lineage: Bacteria; Pseudomonadati; Pseudomonadota; Gammaproteobacteria; Enterobacterales; Enterobacteriaceae. The record is from RNAcentral.